Long non-coding RNA from Coffea arabica (coffee), 1421 nucleotides. RefSeq lists it as uncharacterized. The record is from RefSeq and is a predicted model, not a curated record. NCBI's taxonomy places the organism in Eukaryota, Viridiplantae, Streptophyta, Magnoliopsida, Gentianales, Rubiaceae.
CAAUUUAUCAAAUUAAAAAACCCUAAAACCCAAACAACCUCUGUCCUCUCUUCAUCAUCUUCACCAUUCAAGCAGACAACUUGAUGAUCCAUUGCGCAAUUUAACAUGCAUCACUGACGCCCACAAACAUUCCCGCACUAGACUAUCUUUCUACCCCAUUCACACACACAUAUUUUGCAGACUAAAAUCUAGCAGGAAAAUUCAAGAUUUCUGAGAGGAACCCAAGUUUUAUUUUCCUAUUUCCUUGCUGGGUUUCUUCGAGGAACCCUCUUUGCCUCAUUUUCUCUGUUUUGCCAACUUUGGGGGUUUCAAGUAUUCAAGAACCACAAUUUGAAAGCCAGAAAGAAGUAAUAUCAUCAGGCUUCUCCGACAGAAAGGAAGAGUCGAAAUCAGAAGUUUUCUGAUGGCUGCAAAUAAGCCUCGAACGAGUAGUUUCUCUCGAAAUGUUGCAGUUUCCUUGCUCGGUUUCUUCUUAGCUCUUUUUUCUUGUAGAAAAAUAUUUGGUUUUAGUGUAAAUUUGCACCGGGUAAUGGAUUUUUCCGCUUCCGAAGUUUUGUUUUUGGAUGCAAAGUUAAUUUAGCUUCUGUUGUUUGGUCAAAGCUCAUCAGAUUUCGUGCUCUCAAUGGGCAAUUGGACGAAGCUCACCACCUGUUCGAUCAAAUGCCUAAAAGGAAGAUGAACCAAACUGUUCUGGAAAAGUUAGGUAAAAGUCUUGUAGUUUGGAUACAAAUGCUUAAUUAAGUUCUUGAUAGAUGCUGAUUGCUUAGUUGCCCUUUCUCCUCUUUUAAACCAAGUCUAAACUCAUUUAGAUUAUUCUAUUCUUGUUCUUGAAUAUUUCAGCCAAUGAAUAAAUUACUGAUAUUGGAAAAAAAAGAAAAACAUUUUCAUUUCUUGAAUUUGUUCUGCGUUGUGGAAAGUCGUUAGAUUGGUUUUGGAGAAACCAAGAAAGAUUCGUGUUAAUGCAUCUUUCACUAUGGAAGCCUAUAUCAUUCUCGUGCAACCUUGAUGAUGGACAAGAAGUGCAGGAGAGGAAAAGGUUCUUGAGUUGGAUGGCUGAAUGUUGACUAUGUCUGACCAUGAGAGCCAGUGUAUGAGUUGGAUGGCUGAAUGUGCUAAAGAGAAGGGUGCAAAGGUGUAUAGGGCCUGGUUUAUGGACAUAUACUGAUAUGCAUGGUACAGCAUCAGCAGCCAGGGAGGCUACCUUUUGAUAUCUUCUUUUGAAUUUCAAUAGUUUCUUUCAAACAUUAUUGGAAAAAGUCCAAAGGCUCUCUUACUUUGGCACAAAUCAAAUACAGCAAUUGUAGUCACAGUACUUCGGCACUCUUAUUGCAUUAUCAUCUUCCCACCUGUCGAUUUUAGAGCACUGAUGUACCCGAAAACAUGAAAAAUGUGCAAGUAAACACAUUGGUAAACAACGGUCA